This 222-nucleotide long non-coding RNA is filed under the name Elaeis guineensis (African oil palm). Its description in RNAcentral is "long non-coding RNA (EGUI_LNC013532)". Lineage: Eukaryota; Viridiplantae; Streptophyta; Magnoliopsida; Arecales; Arecaceae. The record is from RNAcentral.
GAUUACUCAGUGGAUUGGUGGAAGGAGCCGUGGCAUGGUCGGAGAUGCACGCCCUCGGAUAGCAACUAGACAUCAUUCGUACAAUAUGAUUCCACAGUGGAUUCCAACAUGGAGAAUGGUCCACAUUUGGGCUAUCUUGAUGCACUGUUUGGUUGUACCGUUACAAAUAUAAAUUUUACAAGGGGUUUUAGUGACGGACUGUAGUGGCAAGUGAUCAUUCCA